UACGAAGGGAGCUAGCGUUGUUCGGAAUCACUGGGCGUAAAGCGCACGUAGGCGGCUUUUUAAGUCAGGGGUGAAAUCCUGGAGCUCAACUCCAGAACUGCCUUUGAUACUGAGAAGCUCGAGUCCGGGAGAGGUGAGUGGAACUGCGAGUGUAGAGGUGAAAUUCGUAGAUAUUCGCAAGAACACCAGUGGCGAAGGCGGCUCACUGGCCCGGUACUGACGCUGAGGUGCGAAAGCGUGGGGAGCAAACAGG
Molecule: ribosomal RNA, 253 nt
Filed under: uncultured bacterium
Lineage: Bacteria
Description: partial 16S ribosomal RNA
Rfam family: Bacterial small subunit ribosomal RNA
Source: RNAcentral